GCCAUUUUCCUAAGGCCAAAGAAAGGCUAAGGCUAUGGGAUCUGCCUUUGCGGCCGGGCUGGGUUUGUGCAGUACUACCUUGUUGUAGAAAACAAGCUAGCCACCUGCAGGUGUCGUAUAGGGCUGGGUCGGACUUAGACUAGCAUGUGUGUCACACAAGGAUUUGGCCUUCCCUUUCCCGUUGACCAAUGCGUCACCGUUAAUUUCCUCUCCAUCGACAUUCCCCGCCUUUCAAUUAAC
Molecule: long non-coding RNA, 240 nt
Filed under: Linum usitatissimum (flax)
Lineage: Eukaryota; Viridiplantae; Streptophyta; Magnoliopsida; Malpighiales; Linaceae
Description: long non-coding RNA (LUSI_LNC006072)
Source: RNAcentral